CUCCUCACUUCUCUUUCUCUUUUCUUUCUUUUUCUUCUUUUGCAUUUUUGGGUAGAACACUCCCUCACACUCACCCACUGAACUCCACUCCAAACCACCAUCUCACCAUCAUUUUUCGACAAAAUCACCGGAAAAAAAUUCUUGAAACCCAUAAGCACCUUCACAUCCUUUUUUUUUUUUUUUUGAGGUAUGCUUGAUAUUGUUGAGAUUCUAGCUAAUCUCCUCUAGAGCUUGGAGAAUUAGGCUUUUCGCGGGUUGCAAGGUAAGUAGCUUUUUAAUGGGAUUUUGAAAAAUAACCUUGUUAUAUAAAUGUUUUUGGGUUAGACACGCUUUUGGAUACUACCUAUAGAAAUUAUAUUUUCCUAAAAACUAUUGUGUCGUAACCUUAAUAUAUAUAUAUAUAUAUAUAUAUAUGAUUAUAUAUGGAAAUGCAUUAUAUUUGGUAUUGCAUUUGGGAAAAUGCAUGAAUUAUUGAUAUGGAAAAAUGAGCAUCUUUUAUUUAAUCUUUGAUAAGAAAAUCUUGGAUGUUAUGGUAUAUUAGAAAAUUUAAAGAUGCUUAUCUUGCCUUAGUACUUGGGAAAUUGAUAGAAAACCUGUUUGACAAGAAUAAAGUUGAAACCUUACAAACUUUGUAGAAGUGAGAUUAUUUAAGGUUUUUUUUUUUAAACUACUUGGAUAUGAACUGUGUUACAAAGUAAUGUAACUUGUGAGUUGUUUUAACACCAUGCCAUGUGUGAUUUCCCGGUGAUCACCCGAUUUGGUUUCUGUAGUCUUUGUGACAAUGGAAUCAAAUCUAGGUCAAUGCCCUUUCACUUUGGAUGACACGUUCUUCCCUGCUGUCCAUGGGGGGAAGAGGUUCCUUGAUUGUGUGUAGAUGAGGCUGCUGUCCAUGGAGCCAAGAGACCACAUGCAAGAGAGGUCCUAUUUGACGCGCUCUCUCUGCUGCCCAUGGGGGGAGAGAAAAACCUUGAGGGUAUGGGUGAGGCUGAUGUCCAUGGAGCCAAAAGUCUGCAUACCAGAGAGGACAAUAUCAUGCCAGUUGUGAAUGGGUGGAUCCCUUGACCGAUUUAUGUGGUAGUAUGGUAUAUUUAUAAUAAAUUACCAUAUGUUAGAUUUUAUGGCUUUGGAAAUUAUAUGGUUAGUGCUCACAGAUUAUAGUAUAUACUUUCAAGGUAUUUACUUUAAAAAACUUUGUGUUUCAUUAUUAAAUCAUUCUUGUCAUAUUAUUAUUAUUGAAGAUGAAACUCGCAUUUUCCCCACCCCCAUUAAUUAUGCUACUUACUGGGCGUUAGCUCAUCCCACCCUUUAACAGUUUUGUUAGAUUUAUUAGCUAUACAUUGGGUAUGGAGCUUACUUCUUUGGUGAUGAUUAGAGUGCUAUGUUAAAUUUGGAGACUUUUGCUCUAAAUGGUUGGUGACUCAAUCUUGCUAUGUUCAACGAGACCUUAAUUAAUUCUAUUGGAGGUGGGUCGCUUGAGAUUUGUUAGCCUUUGGCGUGGUAGGCCUAGAUUCAAUGUUAAGGUCCUUAUUUUUGAUAAGACUGUGACUUGUGUAAUUUAAUAAGAGUUUUGUAAUAUAAUCAUGUAUUAUGUGGAGACACAUGAUUUUUAGUUAUUGUUCGUAAAUGUGUUAUAGA
Quercus robur (English oak) is the source of this 1635-nucleotide long non-coding RNA. RefSeq lists it as uncharacterized. The record is from RefSeq and is a predicted model, not a curated record. NCBI's taxonomy places the organism in Eukaryota, Viridiplantae, Streptophyta, Magnoliopsida, Fagales, Fagaceae. The transcript has 2 exons.